AGUGAACGCUGGCGGUAGGCCUAACACAUGCAAGUCGAACGGCAGCACAGUAAGAGCUUGCUCUUACGGGUGGCGAGUGGCGGACGGGUGAGGAAUACAUCGGAAUCUACUUUUUCGUGGGGGUUAACGUAGGGAAACUUGCGCUAAUACCGCAUACGACCUACGGGAGAAUGCAGGGGAUCUUCGGACCUUGCGCGAUUGAAUGAGCCGAUGUCGGAUUAGCUAGUUGGCGGGGUAAAGGCCCACCAAGGCGACGAUCCGUAGCUGGUCUGAGAGGAUGAUCAGCCACACUGGAACUGAGACACGGUCCAGACUCCUACGGGAGGCAGCAGUGGGGAAUAUUGGACAAUGGGCGCAAGCCUGAUCCAGCCAUACCGCGUGGGUGAAGAAGGCCUUCGGGUUGUAAAGCCCUUUUGUUGGGAAAGAAAAGCAGCAGGUUAAUACCCCGCUGUUCUGACGGUACCCAAAGAAUAAGCACCGGCUAACUUCGUG
RNAcentral lists this ribosomal RNA (492 nucleotides) under uncultured bacterium. RNAcentral describes it as "partial 16S ribosomal RNA". It matches the Rfam family "Bacterial small subunit ribosomal RNA", at positions 29 to 507 of the family's 1533-position model. The record is from RNAcentral.